This 693-nucleotide long non-coding RNA is filed under the name Gadus morhua (Atlantic cod). RNAcentral's name for it is "lncRNA (ENSGMOG00000031768.1)". Lineage: Eukaryota; Metazoa; Chordata; Actinopteri; Gadiformes; Gadidae. The record is from RNAcentral.
CUUUCACAUACAAUGGGGAGUUUUCGAGCCAACAGAAAUAACACUUGGAGUAUGACAGCAGGUGUUUUUCCCUCCCUUUUACUAGGACCACACUUAUGCUCUGUCCAGUUGCCCUUUGGCUCUUAAGGAGGGGUACAUUAAGGCAAAGGACAAUGUAAGCAGACUGCAGAGGGAAAAGGCGAAUACAAGGAAGCGUGAAUUGAGGGCAAAGAGUUCCUUAAAGGAUGUGCUGAUGGAGCUGAGGGAGAAAAACUUGAUGACUGAAGAACUAAGUCAGAGGGUUGGAUUGUAUGCAGAUCUCCCACUGCACCUUUUCGAGAAAAAGGCCAGUGAAUACAGCAAAGAACAGAGGGAGUUUGCCAUCACAUUACACCUGCAUGGACCCAAGGCAUACCGCUACCUCAGAAGCACGCUGCAACUUCCUCUCCCUCAUCCACGCUCAUUGCAAAGUCAUACCGGACUAUCAAGAGUGGCAGUGGCAGGAUCGAGUGGAAGCACAUUGUUGAGCUCCACAAUGUGCAAAAAAAGGCAGGGCUGCAUGCCAACAAACUGACAGAUACUCAUGUCAGUUUCAACAACCAAAAAAUGAAGGUGUGUUUGUGUUUGUGUGUGUGUUGGGGGGGGGGGGGGGUUCAUAUACUGAGAUUGGUAACACUUUAGUUUGAUAGUCCACUGUUGACACUCAACAAGCCA